This 699-nucleotide long non-coding RNA is filed under the name Phasianus colchicus (ring-necked pheasant). RNAcentral describes it as "lncRNA (ENSPCLG00000014806.1)". Lineage: Eukaryota; Metazoa; Chordata; Aves; Galliformes; Phasianidae. The record is from RNAcentral.
GGUGCUCACAUCCACCCAUGUUCCAAGAAUGCUCACACCAUCACCCAUCUUGGGAUGCUCACAGUGUCUCCACGAUCUUGGGGUGCUCACACAGUCCCCAUGUGCCCAGGAUGUUCACACCAUCCCCAUGACCUUGGGGUACUCACACCAUCCCCAUGUUCUUGGGGUGGUCAGAUCACCCCCAUGUCCCCAGAAUGCUCACACCAUCACCCAUCUUGGGGUGUUCACAUCAUCCCCAUGAUCUUGGGGUGCUCACACCAUCCUCAUGUCCCCAGAAUGCUCACACCAUCCCCCAUCUUGGGGUGUUCACACAGUCCCCACGUCCCCAGGAUGUUCACACCAUCCCCAUGUUCUUGGGGUGCUCACAUCCACCCAUGUUCCAAGAAUGCUCACACCAUCACCCAUCUUGGGCUGCUCAUAUCAUCCCCAUAAUCUUGGGGUGCUCACAUCCCCCCAUGUCCCCAGAAUGCUCACACCAUCCCCCAUCUUGGGGUGCUCACACCAUCCCCCAUCUUGGGGUGCUCACACAGUCACCAAGUCCCCAGAAUGUUCACACCAUCCUCAUGUUCUUGGGUUGCUCCCCCAUGUUCCUGGGGUGCUCACACAGUCCCCAUGUCCCCAGACUGUUCACACCAUCCCCCAUCUUGGGGUGUUCACAUCAUCCCCAUGUUCUUGGGGUGGUCAGAUCACCCCCAUGUC